Molecule: ribosomal RNA, 1364 nt
Filed under: uncultured bacterium
Lineage: Bacteria
Description: bacterial SSU rRNA
Rfam family: Bacterial small subunit ribosomal RNA
Source: RNAcentral
GAUGAACGCUAGCGGCAGGCCUAAUACAUGCAAGUCGAACGAGAACCUUUCCUUCGGGUGAGGGGACAGUGGCGCACGGGUGCGUAACGCGUAUGCAAUCUGCCUUUAUCAGGGGAAUAACCCGGCGAAAGUCGGACUAAUACCGCAUAACAUAAUUGGAUGGCAUCAUUCAAUUAUCAAACAUUUAUGGGAUAAAGAUGAGCAUGCGUGACAUUAGCUAGUUGGCGGGGUAACGGCCCACCAAGGCGAUGAUGUCUAGGGGAUCUGAGAGGAUGACCCCCCACACUGGUACUGAGACACGGACCAGACUCCUACGGGAGGCAGCAGUAAGGAAUAUUGGUCAAUGGAGGGAACUCUGAACCAGCCAUGCCGCGUGCAGGAAGACGGCCCUACGGGUUGUAAACUGCUUUUGUACCGGAAUAAACUCCCGAACGAGUUCGGGGCUGAAUGUACGGUAAGAAUAAGGAUCGGCUAACUCCGUGCCAGCAGCCGCGGUAAUACGGAGGAUCCAAGCGUUAUCCGGAUUUAUUGGGUUUAAAGGGUGCGUAGGCGGCUUUUUAAGUCAGGGUGAAAGACGUGGCUCAACCAUCGCAGUGCCUUUGAUACUGAAGAGCUUGAUUACACAUGAGGCAGGCGGAAUGUGACAGUAGCGUGAAAUGCAAUAGAUUAUGUCCACAGAAUCUCCGAUUGCGAGGCAGCUUACUAAAGUUGUAAAUGACGCUGAAGCCGAAAGCGUGGGUUCAAACCAGAUUAGAUCCCUGGUAGUCCACGCCCUAAACGAAUGAAUCUUCGAAGUUGGGGUAUCAGUCAGCGUCAAGCGAAAGCGUUAAAGUAUUCCCACCUGGGGAGUACGUCCGCAAGGAUGAAAUUCAAAGGAAUUGACGGGGGCCCGCACAAGCGGAGGAGCAUGUGGUUUAAUUCGAUGAUACGCGAGGAACCUUACCCGGGCUUGAAAGUUACUGAAGUAUCCCAGAGAUGGGUACGCCCUUCGGGGCAGGAAACUAGGUGCUGCAUGGCUGUCGUCAGCUCGUGCCGUGAGGUGUUGGGUUAAGUCCCGCAACGAGCGCAACCCCUGUGAAUAGUUGCCAGCAUGUAAAGGUGGGGACUCUAUUCAGACUGCCUGUGCAAACAGAGAGGAAGGCGGGGACGACGUCAAGUCAUCAUGGCCCUUACGUCCGGGGCUACACACGUGCUACAAUGGGAGGUACAGAGGGCCGCUACCUGGUAACAGGAUGCCAAUCUCAAAAAGCCUUUCACAGUUCGGAUUGAGGUCUGCAACUCGACCUCAUGAAGUUGGAUUCGCUAGUAAUCGCGUAUCAGCAAUGACGCGGUGAAUACGUUCCCGGGCCUUGUACACACCGCCC